This 301-nucleotide ribosomal RNA is filed under the name uncultured bacterium. RNAcentral's name for it is "partial 16S ribosomal RNA". It matches the Rfam family "Bacterial small subunit ribosomal RNA", at positions 509 to 809 of the family's 1533-position model. The record is from RNAcentral.
CAGUCGCCGCGGUAAUACGUAGGUGGCGAGCGUUGUCCGGAAUCAUUGGGCGUAAAGGGAGCGCAGGCGGGCAUGUAAGUCUUUCUUAAAAGUGCGGGGCUCAACCCCGUGAUGGGAAAGAAACUACAUGUCUUGAGUACAGGAGAGGAAAGCGGAAUUCCCAGUGUAGCGGUGAAAUGCGUAGAUAUUGGGAGGAACACCAGUGGCGAAGGCGGCUUUCUGGACUGCAACUGACGCUGAGGCUCGAAAGCCAGGGGAGCGAACGGGAUUAGAUACCCCCGUAGUCCCUGUCUCUUAUACA